CGUAGGGUGCAAGCGUUAAUCGGAAUUACUGGGCGUAAAGCGUGCGCAGGCGGUUAUGCAAGACAGAUGUGAAAUCCCCGGGCUCAACCUGGGAACUGCAUUUGUGACUGCACGGCUAGAGUACGGUAGAGGGGGAUGGAAUUCCGCGUGUAGCAGUGAAAUGCGUAGAUAUGCGGAGGAACACCGAUGGCGAAGGCAAUCCCCUGGACCUGUACUGACGCUCAUGCACGAAAGCGUGGGGAGCAAACAGGAUUAGAUACCCUGGUAGUCCACGCCCUAAACGAUGUCAACUGGUUGUUGGGAGGGUUUCUUCUCAGUAACGUAGCUAACGCGUGAAGUUGACCGCCUGGGGAGUACGGCCGCAAGGUUG
Molecule: ribosomal RNA, 370 nt
Filed under: uncultured organism
Description: bacterial SSU rRNA
Rfam family: Bacterial small subunit ribosomal RNA
Source: RNAcentral